UUUUAGGUAAUUUAUAUAGAAUAUUUAACUGUUACUUAAAGUGAGGCAACUUGCCCCUAAAAG
RNAcentral lists this transfer RNA (63 nucleotides) under Gordius sp. VVA-2019. RNAcentral describes it as "tRNA-Asn". Lineage: Eukaryota; Metazoa; Nematomorpha; Gordioida; Gordea; Gordiidae. The record is from RNAcentral.